CCUACCGCAAGGUGGGAUCCGAAGGCAAGCUGAUCCUAUGAACAGGAACCGUAUACGGGGCAGCCACAUCUGGGCGAGGAGGCAAUGAGAUCCAAAGCCCGAUACUCGCCCGGAAGGCGUGGAAGUAUAUGCGGCGGGUAUAGGGGAGGAGG
RNAcentral lists this non-coding RNA (152 nucleotides) under Candidatus Kentrum sp. TC. Lineage: Bacteria; Pseudomonadati; Pseudomonadota; Gammaproteobacteria. The record is from RNAcentral.